UUCCUGGGAAUGGACCAUUUUUUCCUUUUCAUACCCAAAUGAAUCCUAACCCCUAAGAAGAAUUUAGAAAGUCUAAAAAUUAGGCAAAUGAGGAUCAGGGAAAACAAGUGAUUUUAUUAAUAAAUGGUCUUGUACUUGCAUGCUGGGGUGCUGAUCUUGGACACAUCCUGAGGAUAAUAGUCACCAUAUUUUAUGAGAGUGAAAACUGUCUCCCGGUGUAAAAAUGGGCAACUAUGGGUUAACUGUGUAACUAUGCUUGCUGAGAAAGAUACAUUGUAACCAGUCACUACUGUAAUACAAACUCACUAGAGCAAAGCAAUCCCAGAAAGCCCUGCCAAACUUCCUGCUCCCACCUUCACUGCCCCUUUGCCUAUGUAAUUGUGUUUAGAUUGAUGGCUGUUUUCCCAGUGAUUACGGUUGCUGUUUCCCCCUCCCAUAGAAACAUAAAGGUAUAAAAACGAGAGUAAACUUCUGUUUGACAUUUUUGAGGUGAUCUGAAUCCCUUGAAGCUGCCAGCGAUAAAGCUGAUUUUUGCUCCUACUUAUGUGGUCAGUGGUCUGUCCGGAGACCCUCAAGCGGUCACACUUCACUUCUAAGGGUCAUUUAAAUUUUAGAAAUAUCACUAGGCAGCUGGGUGGAAGAUAGAUGGAAGGAGAAGAUAUUGCAGUGCAGAUGGUACCAGCAGUUGAUUACAACAAUCAGAGAAGGAACGGCAUUUCAAUCCAAUUCAACAAAUCCUGUGAUCCUACUGGAUGCACAGUACAGGAGCAGGAAGAUGAGUUUGACAUAGUUUGUUUCCAGAGGUUAUUAACAUAAAGAUGAGAAGCUGAAAGCAGAAAGAAGUGAAGAAUUUCACCUAUGGCUACUCAGAAGAGGACCUGGGAUGAAAACCAGCCUGACCCUGGGCUCAUCUGUUGACUCUAGGGUGUCCUGGAAUCAAUCACCUAGGAUACUGAGGGAUGAUUGUAUUGGCUUUAAGAAACCCAAAGCAAGACAUUCUUCAUCAGAAAGAAAGAAAGAAAGAAAGAAGAAGGGUAGCUAUCUCUAAAUGUAGAGUUGGUAAAAUGCUUAGUAACAUCAAAAAGAAGACAUUCUUCAUCUUUAAAUUGAGGGCAAUGAUAGUCUUGCAAUGAACAUUAGCGAGAUUGUGAAGUGUCAGUCACACGGCCUGGUCUAAGUGAAUGAUAAUUUAUAUGCAUUAUGAUACAGUUAUCGAUUAUUUUAUUAAAGUAUAUUUCUUCACUAUC
Heterocephalus glaber (naked mole-rat) is the source of this 1247-nucleotide long non-coding RNA. RefSeq lists it as uncharacterized. The record is from RefSeq and is a predicted model, not a curated record. NCBI's taxonomy places the organism in Eukaryota, Metazoa, Chordata, Mammalia, Rodentia, Bathyergidae.